Molecule: long non-coding RNA, 3159 nt
Filed under: Sus scrofa (pig)
Lineage: Eukaryota; Metazoa; Chordata; Mammalia; Artiodactyla; Suidae
Description: lncRNA (ENSSSCG00030006592.1)
Source: RNAcentral
GAUUCGUUUCCUCUGCGCCACUCCGGGAACUCCUCUCUUGACUUUUGACAAAUGCAUAUACACCUGUAUAACCAACCCCAUCAAGAUAUAGAACAUUUCUGUCAAACCCAGAACAUUGCCUUGUGUUCUUUCCUAAUCAAUCUCCACCUCCACCCCCUGAGAUAACCAAUGUCCUGAUUUUUUUUUCCACCUUGGUUUUCCUGUUUCUGGAAUUUCAUAUAAAUGGGGUCAUACAAUUUUUACUCUUUUGUGCAAGACUGCUAGAAAUUCCGUGUCCUAUUUCUGAGAUUCACUUAGUGUUGUAUGUAUCAGCAAUUUGUUCUUUAUUGGGAGGGGUAUUCCCUUAGUUAACGUUUGUCUGUUCUAUCGACAGACAGGCACUGGGACUGUUUCCAGUUUCUGGCUGUUAUGAAUAAAACUGCUCAGAACACGCAUGUGCAAAUCUUUUUGUGGAUUUAUGUUUUUCUCUCAGGUGAACACCUAGGAGUGGAAUUGUGUGACAAUGUAGGGAAAGACAUGUUUAUUUUUAUAAGAAACUGUCAGACCUUUUUUCCAAAGUGAUUGUACCCAUUUGUAUUCCCACGAAUAAUUUUGUGUGUUCCAGUUUGUUCAACAUCCUCACUAGCCUCUGGUGGUGUCAAGCUUUGUCAUUUUAGCCAUGCUGGUUGGUGAGUAAUUGUAUCUUGUAAUUUGAAUUUGUAUUUCCCUGAUGGCUAGUAAUGUUAUAUACUUUUUUAUACCCUUACACUAUUUAUAUGUGUCUCCUUUGUGAAGUAUUAGGACAAAUCUUUUUCCAAAAAUUAAAAAGAAUUACUGGAGUAGAGUUGACAUACACAGUUUUGUUAGUUUCAGGUGUACAGCAAAGUGAAUCAUUUAUAUGUAUACAUAUAUACAUUCCUUCUUUUCCCAUAUAGGUGUUUACAUAGUAUUGAAUAGUUUACCCUAUGCUAUAUAGUAGGUCCUUGUUACCUAUUUUUUGGUUUCCUUUUUUAAAUUGCUUUAAAAGACAUUUAAUUCAUUUUUUUUUUCUUUUUAUGGCCACGCCUGUGGCAUUUGAAGUUCCCGGGCUAGGGGUCAAAUUGGAGCAGCAGCUGCUGGCCUACCUCACAGCCAUGGCCAACACCAGAUCUGAGCCAUAUCUGCAAACUACACUGCAGGUUGUGGCAAUGUUGUUGGAUCUUUAACCCACUGAGUGAGGCCAGGGAUUGAACCCCAUCCUCACAGACACUUUGUUGGGUUUUUAACCCACUGAGCCACAACAGGAAUGCCUAAAAACCAUUUUAAAAUAGAUUUUUUUUUUGAGCGGUUUUAAGUUUAUAGGAAAGUUAAGUAAGAAGGACAGUUCCUCCUCCCCCAUUUCUCCCUUGUAGUAUUGUGGUACACUUACUGUAGUCAACUGAUAAGCCAGUAUUGACAUAGUAACUGAAGUCAUAGCUUACAUUAAGGUUCAUUCUUUUUUUUUUUUUUUUUUUUUUUUCCUUUUUAGGGCCACACCUGCAGCCUAAGGAAGUUCCCAGGCUAGGAGUUGAAUCAGAGCUGCAGCUGCCAGCCUAUACCACAGCAACAGCAACGCCAGAGUGGAGCCACAUCUGCAAUCUACACCGCAGCUCAUGGCAACGCCAGCUCCCUAACCCAAUGAGUGAGGCCAGAGAUUGAACCCAUGUCCUCAUGGAUACUAGUUGGGUUCGUUACCACUGAGCCACAACGGGCAUUCCCGUAUAUCUUUUUUUUAAAGACAAAAUGCUAUCACACAUUUGAUGAACUACAGUUUUAUAAACAUAACUUUUAUAUGCCCUGGGAAAUCAAAAAAUUCAUGUCCUGCUUUACUCUUGUGGUCUGGAACAAAACUGGCAAAAUCUCCAAGGAAUGCGCGUGUUUGGAAAAGUCAACUUCUGCCUUUACAGGACAACUGUGAGAACCAAAAGCAUCAAGGUCUCCAGUGGUCAAUGAGAGGAGUUGAUUGUUACCAUCACUUAAAAAGGAAUGGGUAACAUGCCUCCCCUGCUGCUCCCUGGUACUCAACACAUGGAGUCGUGAUAAGGCAUGACUGGCCAUGUGUUUUGGGGAAAGUUCACCUCUGGACCCUAGUUUCCUCAUCCAGCACUUUUUUUUUUCUUUUUUCUUUUUUUUUGUCUUUUCUAGGGCCAUACCCAUGGCAUAUGGAGGUUCCCAGGCUAGGGGUCUAAUCAGAGUUGUAGCCGCCAGCCUUUGCGACAGCCACAGCACCUCGGGAUCUGAGCCUCAUCUGUGACCUACACCACAGCUCAUGGCAAUGCCGGAUCCUUAACCCAUUGAGUGAGGCCAGGGAUCGAAGCCGCCACCUCAUGGUUCCUAGUUGGAUUCGUUAACCACUGAGCCACAAUGGGAACUCCUAAUUUUUUUUUUUUUUUCUAUACUCAGUACCUUGACUACAGCCCCAUGGAAAGAUGCCCCUAAACCAGGAGCACCUAGCUAAGCUACACCAGAUUUAUGAGCACAGAAAACGGUAAGAUAAUACAUGUUUGCCAUUAAGUAGGUGGUAAUGGCUUGAUUAAAACUUCAUAAUUUCUUAAUUAUUUCCUGCCCAUCAGUUUAUUGGCUAAUUUGCAUUUACAUACCUUUCUUCUCUUCAGUAACCAUCUCUCAAGGGAUUAAAGCCUUAGGAUCGAUAUUUUGGGAUUAAUCAAGCCCUCAACAGAAAUCAAACUUCGACAAAUCCAAGUCGUUCCUGGAGAAUAUUGCUGUUAGGAUGUUUAAGUAAAAUAAUCACUUUGAAUUCCAUCUAUUUUCACUGCUUUUGCAUUUUCCAAGAUGUUAAAAAACUUUGAGAAAUCUAACUUGAUUUCUCUCAGGAGUUUUAUUAGGAAGUAUGCCUGCAUGUGCUGUGUAUUUACGAUUCUCCUCCUAAAAACAAAACUAAAUUUUCAUAGCCACGACACAUCAAUCUCUUGUACUGUUAAUCCUCUCCCACAGUUUACUCUGUAGACAGAUCCUAGGCCCCUUGAGUGGAACGGCCUAUACCUUGGGAAGGAGAGACCUGUUGAAGCAUCCUGUGCCCCAGGGUGGAAGAGCUGGACACAGCAAAAGUGAAGUUGCCUUUUUCCCGCCUCUAAUGACAACUGCUUCCCACUGAUUCUGUCCGUUCUAAAGAGAGAAGUGCCAAUCAACUCGCCAUAAAAC